GUGCUCACUUCAGCACCACAUAUAAUAAGAUUGGAUUGAUACAGAGAUUAGCAUGGCCCAUGUGCAAGGAUGACACACAAAUUCAUGAAGCAUUCCAUUUUUUU
Molecule: small nuclear RNA, 104 nt
Organism: Jaculus jaculus (lesser Egyptian jerboa)
Lineage: Eukaryota; Metazoa; Chordata; Mammalia; Rodentia; Dipodidae
Source: RefSeq, a predicted model, not a curated record